This 458-nucleotide ribosomal RNA is filed under the name uncultured Clostridium sp. Its description in RNAcentral is "bacterial SSU rRNA". It matches the Rfam family "Bacterial small subunit ribosomal RNA", at positions 923 to 1382 of the family's 1533-position model. Lineage: Bacteria; Bacillati; Bacillota; Clostridia; Eubacteriales; Clostridiaceae. The record is from RNAcentral.
GCACAAGCAGCGGAGCAUGUGGUUUAAUUCGAAGCAACGCGAAGAACCUUACCUAGACUUGACAUCUCCUGAACUUACCCGUAACGUGGGGAAGCUCUUCGGAGCAGGAAGACAGGUGGUGCAUGGUUGUCGUCAGCUCGUGUCGUGAGAUGUUGGGUUAAGUCCCGCAACGAGCGCAACCUUUAUCGUUAGUUGCUACCAUUAAGUUGAGCACUCUAGCGAGACUGCCCGGGUUAACCGGGAGGAAGGUGGGGAUGACGUCAAAUCAUCAUGCCCCUUAUGUCUAGGGCUACACACGUGCUACAAUGGUGAGGACAAAGAGACGCAAGACCGCGAGGUGGAGCAAAUCUCACAAACCUCAUCCCAGUUCGGAUUGCAGGCUGAAACUCGCCUGCAUGAAGCCGGAGUUGCUAGUAAUCGCGAAUCAGCAUGUCGCGGUGAAUACGUUCCCGGGCCUU